GGUUGCGAUCAUACCAGCACUAAUGCACCGGAUCCCAUCAGAACUCUGCAGUUAAGCGUGCUUGGGCGAGAGUAAUACUAGGAUGGGUGACCUCCUGGGAAGUCCUCGUGUUGCAACCC
Molecule: ribosomal RNA, 119 nt
Filed under: Helianthus annuus (common sunflower)
Lineage: Eukaryota; Viridiplantae; Streptophyta; Magnoliopsida; Asterales; Asteraceae
Source: RNAcentral